UACAGAGGGGGCAAGCGUUGUUCGGAAUCAUUGGGCGUAAAGGGCGCGUAGGCGGCCAUCCAAGUCGGAUGUGAAAUCCCUCGGCUCAACCGAGGAACUGCACUCGAUACUGGUUGGCUCGAGUCCGGGAGGGGAUGGUGGAAUUCCCAGUGUAGCGGUGAAAUGCGUAGAUAUUGGGAAGAACACCGGUGGCGAAGGCGACCAUCUGGACCGGAACUGACGCUGAGGCGCGAAAGCCAGGGGAGCGAAU
RNAcentral lists this ribosomal RNA (250 nucleotides) under uncultured bacterium. Its description in RNAcentral is "partial 16S ribosomal RNA". It matches the Rfam family "Bacterial small subunit ribosomal RNA", at positions 524 to 773 of the family's 1533-position model. The record is from RNAcentral.